AUUGGUGUGGUAGAAACUAGAGCUGCGUUGGCGGCUGAGCCCUUGUUCUCUGCUCCCCCGGCCACCUCUGAAAUGGGAUCUGCUGUGCUUAGGACACGUCUCAGCACUGAAACCAGUGUAGCACUGAAACCAGACACUUGAAUGUCUGUCCCUCGGCCAAACCAGGGGCCACAGGAGGGCAGAGGCCAUAUCCUGUGCAUUGCUGUCCCCAGCACUGUCCCUGGCUCAACCACAGGAAUUAUCUCUUGGAAUCUCCGCAUAGGUUCAGUGUUGCUGACCUCCAACAGAUCGCAGACGGGGUGUAUGAAGGAUUCCUCAAGGCCCUGAUUGAAUUUGCCUCCCAGCAUGUCUACCACUGCGACCUGUGCACCCAGCGCGGCUUCAUCUGCCAGAUCUGCCAGCACCACGACAUCAUCUUCCCCUUUGAGUUUGACACCACAGUCAGGUGUGCCGAGUGCAAGACCGUCUUCCACCAGAGCUGCCAGGCUGUGGUGAAGAA
Molecule: long non-coding RNA, 499 nt
Filed under: Homo sapiens (human)
Lineage: Eukaryota; Metazoa; Chordata; Mammalia; Primates; Hominidae
Description: pleckstrin homology and RUN domain containing M1 (ENSG00000276358.2, ENSG00000277111.3)
Source: RNAcentral